This 496-nucleotide ribosomal RNA is filed under the name uncultured bacterium. RNAcentral's name for it is "partial 16S ribosomal RNA". It matches the Rfam family "Bacterial small subunit ribosomal RNA", at positions 28 to 506 of the family's 1533-position model. The record is from RNAcentral.
GAUGAACGCUGGCGGCGUGCCUAAUACAUGCAAGUCGAGCGAACAGACGAGGAGCUUGCUCCUCUGACGUUAGCCGCGGACGGGUGAGUAACACGUGGAUAACCUACCUAUAAGACUGGGAUAACUUCGGGAAACCGGAGCUAAUACCGGAUAAUAUAUUGAACCGCAUGGUUCAAUAGUGAAAGACGGUUUUGCUGUCACUUAUAGAUGGAUCCGCGCCGCAUUAGCUAGUUGGUAAGGUAACGGCUUACCAAGGCAACGAUGCGUAGCCGACCUGAGAGGGUGAUCGGCCACACUGGAACUGAGACACGGUCCAGACUCCUACGGGAGGCAGCAGUAGGGAAUCUUCCGCAAUGGGCGAAAGCUUGACGGAGCAACGCCGCGUGAGUGAUGAAGGUCUUCGGAUCGUAAAACUCUGUUAUUAGGGAAGAACAAAUGUGUAAGUAACUAUGCACGUCUUGACGGUACCUAAUCAGAAAGCCACGGCUAACUACGU